GACGAAGGGGGCUAGCGUUGAUCGGAUUUACUGGGCGUAAAGGGCGCGUAGGCGGAUUUUUAAGUCGGGGGUGAAAUCCCGGAGCUCAACUCCGGAACUGCCUUCGAUACUGAAAGUCUGGAGCACGGUAGAGGUGAGUGGAAUUCCGAGUGUAGAGGUGAAAUUCGUAGAUAUUCGGAGGAACACCAGUGGCGAAGGCGGCUCACUGGACCGUUGCUGACGCUGAGGAGCGAAAGCGUGGGGAGCAAACAGG
RNAcentral lists this ribosomal RNA (253 nucleotides) under uncultured bacterium. Its description in RNAcentral is "partial 16S ribosomal RNA". It matches the Rfam family "Bacterial small subunit ribosomal RNA", at positions 524 to 776 of the family's 1533-position model. The record is from RNAcentral.